This 73-nucleotide transfer RNA is filed under the name Terrabacter tumescens. RNAcentral's name for it is "tRNA-Ser". Lineage: Bacteria; Bacillati; Actinomycetota; Actinomycetes; Micrococcales; Intrasporangiaceae. The record is from RNAcentral.
UGCUCUUCAUGGACCACGGGCGGGUCGUCGAGGCCGGAGCCCCCGACCGGCUGUUCGAGGCGCCGGAGACCGA